Molecule: long non-coding RNA, 956 nt
Filed under: Anser brachyrhynchus (Pink-footed goose)
Lineage: Eukaryota; Metazoa; Chordata; Aves; Anseriformes; Anatidae
Description: lncRNA (ENSABRG00000008073.1)
Source: RNAcentral
GGGAGAAUCCCCUCCCUUGCCCUGCUGGCCUCGCUUCUUUUGAUGCAGCCCAGGAUAAGGUUGGCUCUCUGGGUUGCCAGCUCAUGUCGAGCUUCUCAUCAACCAGCACCCCCAGGUCCUUCUCCUCAGGGCAGCUCUCAACCCAUUCUCCACCCAGCCUGUAUUUGUGCUUGGGACUGCCCCAACCCAGAUGCAGGACCCUGCACUUGGCCUUGUUGAACGUCAUGAGGUUCCCACAGCCCCACUUCUCAAACCUGUCCAGGUUCCCUCUGGAUGGCAUCCCUUCCCUCCAGCAUGUCAAAUUUUAGCACCUCCAACUGCUUUUCCAAUUGGUUUGGCAUUAUAGCCUACUAAGCUGGUUCCCAGAUGUUUCCAAAAGAUUUGUUUGGCUUUACUGUUGCAUUUCUCAUGCAGAAGUCCUAUGAGUGGUGAAAAUGCAAUGAUGGGAUGUGAAAGCAGCAAUACUUUGUGUACCUGUGAUUCAUCAUACACAUAACUGACACCAUGAUUUGAAGAGGAAGCUACAAAUCAUUGAACCCAGCUAUUCCAUCAGCAUCAUUGAACUGCAGUCCUAAUCCCACUGGUUGUCUACAAACCUUGGAUUUAUGAAAAGAAGGGAUGGAAAAUGGGAGUACUGCUAUUUGAACUUCCACUAUUGCAAUCAUUAAAUAUUUAGCAUUCAUUGGAACUGCUGAUAAUGGUGAGAUGCCUGUAAAAAUGGGUACUCACAGGUCUACAGUCCAGAGAGGAAAAUUACAAGUACUUCGUCAGACUGCACAUAUGCCAUGGGCUGCAGGACUUCCCAUGCUGGUGCUGGAUUUUCAAAUGCCGCUGAGGAUUGACUUAAAGACAAUGAGUGAAAGAAAAUCUAGAUCCCUGGAUGUUUUGUUGCAAGCCCUCGAGGUUAAAAAUGGUCUUUUUUUCAAGGUUAAAUACAUUUAUUUUCUGCAUCCAGG